CCUAUGGGCGGCUGCAGUGGGGAAUAUUGGACAAUGGGCGAAAGCCUGAUCCAGCCAUGCCGCGUGUGUGAAGAAGGCCUUCGGGUUGUAAAGCACUUUCAGUGGGGAAGAAAGCCUUGGGGCUAAUACCCUCGAGGAAGGACAUCACCCACAGAAGAAGCACCGGCUAACUCCGUGCCAGCAGCCGCGGUAAUACGGAGGGUGCGAGCGUUAAUCGGAAUUACUGGGCGUAAAGCGCGCGUAGGCGGUCUGAUAAGCCGGUUGUGAAAGCCCCGGGCUCAACCUGGGAACGGCAUCCGGAACUGUCAGGCUAGAGUGCAGGAGAGGAAGGUAGAAUUCCCGGUGUAGCGGUGAAAUGCGUAGAGAUCGGGAGGAAUACCAGUGGCGAAGGCGGCCUUCUGGACUGACACUGACGCUGAGGUGCGAAAGCGUGGGUAGCAAACAGGAUUAGAUACCCGAGUAGUC
RNAcentral lists this ribosomal RNA (465 nucleotides) under Vreelandella stevensii. Its description in RNAcentral is "partial 16S ribosomal RNA". It matches the Rfam family "Bacterial small subunit ribosomal RNA", at positions 338 to 795 of the family's 1533-position model. The record is from RNAcentral. Lineage: Bacteria; Pseudomonadati; Pseudomonadota; Gammaproteobacteria; Oceanospirillales; Halomonadaceae.